GGGGCUGUGACUCAGUGGGAGAGUGCUUGCCUAGCAUGUGUGAGGCAUUGGGUUCAAUUCUCAGCACCA
Molecule: transfer RNA, 69 nt
Filed under: Marmota monax (woodchuck)
Lineage: Eukaryota; Metazoa; Chordata; Mammalia; Rodentia; Sciuridae
Description: tRNA.Ala
Source: RNAcentral